This 853-nucleotide ribosomal RNA is filed under the name Euphthiracarus excultus. RNAcentral describes it as "partial large subunit ribosomal RNA". It matches the Rfam family "Eukaryotic large subunit ribosomal RNA", at positions 50 to 650 of the family's 3401-position model. Lineage: Eukaryota; Metazoa; Arthropoda; Arachnida; Sarcoptiformes; Euphthiracaridae. The record is from RNAcentral.
GCGGUGGAAAAGAAACCAAAAGGGAUUCGGAUAGUAACGGCGAGCGAACUCCGAACAGCUCAGCGCUAAGUCCCAUCGUCAUUAGGCGAAUGGGAAAUGCAGCGUGAUUGUCGCAGUGCAUCGUGCUUUGCUUCUGUGGCGCAAGUUCCUCUGACAAGGACUUUUUCCAUAGAGGGUGCUAGGCCCAUAGCUGUCACAAGGCUAAUGCACGCAUACUGUGUCAUGAUAGAGUCAGGUUGCUUGAAAGUGCAGCCCAAAGUCGGUGGUAAACUCCACCUAAGGCUAAAUAUUACUGCGAGACCGAUAGCAAACAAGUACCGUGAGGGAAAGUUGCAAAGAACUUUGAAGAGAGAGUUCAAUAGGACGUGAAACUGUUUGUAGGUAAACAGAUGGAACCACGAAGUAUGCCGGAAAGUGAAUUCAACUGUUCCGAAAAUGGCUGUCGUUGUUGUCUUAUUUGGCUCUUUUUCAGGGCAGGCUUCGAUGACGUUCAAUGCUGUUCUUGGGCGGUGCAUUUUUACAGUUCCGUGCUAAAGCCAUGACUUGUUGGCAAGCUAGAGCGUCCGUACGCGAAACUGGCCAGAAGGUAACUGGAUGUGCCUUGUGUACAUACUANCGAUAUAUCUGGCUAGUUGGUGCUUAGCUCAAGCUAACCGACAAGCGAAAUUUCUCCGUCUAUGCGGAGUAUGCAAGCAAAGCAGGCGUACAGUACUUCUGCCGAGACAAGUGUUGAUUUUGUAGGCCUUUUUGUGUUUUCACUAAAAGACUGCGAUUUUGAUCUGUCUAUGCUGGUGGUUGUAUUUCUGUGCGUCUGUGGCAAUCGAUGGCUAGUAGGUCGGUAUCCAUCUGACCC